UCUUAAAAAAAAAAACACCCCAAAACAAAAACAAAAAAAAUUAGUUCUGACAUGAGUGUGUUGGACUGGAAAAUCCAUGUGGACUCUGCCGUCUUUCUUGGUUUCUUCUUCCAUUUGGCUAUCUACCCCCUUCCCUUCCUCCUUCCACCUCACUUAGAGCUAGAAACCUUCCAUGGCAAAUGAUUGGAUUCUAGGUUUGGUUAAAUGCCUACCAUUUACAAAGUACAUUGCUAGCUGCAGUAGGAUUCAGAGGUAAACAACACUGGCUUUCCCCUUAAGGACGCUGGGCCUGACUUGGGUUCACAAAUUGCUAUGACAGAAGACAGUGAAAGAUGCAUGCAUCUUUGGACUGCAUUUUACCAGUUCAAAUAUUUUAUUUUUAAUAAUAUGUAAUAAAAUAUAAGGUAUAACAGGGAAAUGAAAUGCACAGAUCUUAAGCGUGCGGUUCCAAGUAUUUUGAGUGUGAGUGUGACUGUGUGUUGCAGGGGGAAGGUAACAGAAGAGUUGAGUCCCUUCACUGGGUAUGGCAUUUGGAAUAUCAGUGCUAUCAUGUUUUGGCAUGUCUGCUGCCUGCCGUUUUGUUUUUUAAAUUGCCAACUUCAGAAAGUUUAUAAGACUAAGGAAUUCCUGUAUACCCUUUCCCCAGAUUCACCAAUUAUUUACAUUUAUGAAAUCAUUUGAGAAAAAUUUAGAGAAAUCUUGCCCCUUUACCCUUAAAUACUUCAGUUUAUAUUUCAAGGACAUUCUUUUACGUAGUCUGGCUUCCUCUUAGCUGAGCCUUGGGCAUUUCAUUUUCAGACAGUAUUGGGUCAUUCUAUAUCUUAAGUAAAGCUGAUUUAAUGGGAGAGAGAGCUGGAUUGGUUUUCUGCUUGAUGCUGUGCUGGUGGCCUGGCUGUUGGGGGCUGCCUAGGUCACAGGGUCCCCCAGGGAAAAUCUGUUGACUUCCGCAGCUAUGCUUGAGUCUGCUUGUUACUGGACAGCUGGUCUGUCCCCUUAGAGGCUUGGCUGAACUCUGUGCUCUCCUUCCCUCUACUUUGUUCUCGAGUUUUCUGCACAUUCUUCCACCCACAGAUGUGAAUGUCGUGUGAUGUUGGCUUUCCAGUGUCUUGCAUGGCGUGGUAGCAGCAGAAAUGAGCUUGGCUGGGCACCCUCUCUGGGCCUUGGAGGCAAGCCUGGGCUCCUCUGAAAAUACAGGCAGCUUCCUUUCCCUGACUUGCCUGGAGGAGCCAGGCCCUGUGGUGCGGUCUGGCUCUGAGGCCUGUGGUCCUGCUUGGGACUGGCAGUCUUAGGCUGAGGGAACAUUUUCCAGAGUAUAGCCGAGGGACAGAAUGUCUCAGUAAGACGGGCUCGGAGGGGAAGUGUUUUGGAAAGGCCUCUGCUUGCUCUGGGAGGCGUUCAGGAUGCUGAGGUUUUGGAAAUCUAUGGCGGCUCUUCACAACUGCUCCCAGCUUUGGGAGGAGGAAUAGACGGGUGCUCGUUUCCUCGGGUUCAGUGGCAAAGGUGAAGACCAGCACUGCCGACCUGGGACCUGGGCCUCUCCCGGGCCUGGGGAGGACACUGGACUUUGAAGGGGAAUGCAGCCUAGAAGGCCUGGACCCUGGAGUCAGGAGAUGCUGCUCCCAUCCAGUAAGCCCUGGCUGGAGCUCUUCUGGGCACCAACCCUGGCAUAAAACCAGUGGGGCCUCUGGGCCUGCACUCAACAGUGCCUCUGAUGGAGCAGGUUCAGCUUGGUUGUGACCUCUGCUAGAAGCCCUCCCUGGCCUCCCUGUGCACUGAGCUGGUGGUUCCUCCUUUGCGCCCCAGGUACAUGCUCAGAUCUGUGUACCCUACACUUUGUCCUCCAGCUUCGUGUUUGGAUGUUCACAACUCCCAUGAGAAGGGCCCCCGAGAGCUGGCACAGUGCAUGUGUUUCCUCUCCAGACUUCUACAAACCUGGCACAUAAUUGUUUGCUGAAAGAUGGCAUGUUCCUAAAACAGAGGAAGUAGAACCGAAUAAAGCGAAAUCCAACUUCCCACUCCCUGCUCUCACUUCCUCUGGGACAGGCCUUGAGCAAGAGAGACAAAAAGAACAAGAGAUGAUCUUUCCCUUUAAUGGGAUUUCAGUCUGAUCAGGGAGAUAGUAACAGAAAGACUAGACUAGACUAGUGUAUGAUUAAAUGACAUUUGCCAUCCCCAGAAGAGGGAGAGACCUGCAUGGAACAGGGUGGUCAAGGCAGGCUUCCUGGAGGAGGCAAAGACUUAGAUUUAACAGUACCAGAGCUCCAGGAUAGAUCCUCCUCUGACUGAACUCCCUAUUUCUUUCUCCCACCCCAACCUUCCCGGGUCCCCAGCUGAAGGGAUACGUGUGUGUGUGUGUGUACAUGUGCCUGCACACAUGUACACAUGUGGUUAGAAAGGGGGUAUUAGUAUCUCUCUCCUAGGAUGGAGUCUCAAGGACAGGCCCAUCAUCUCCUCAGUUUGCCCCUCUCUCUCCCACUUCACCUAGGGAAUGGAAUAAGAAUGGGAUAAGUAUAACACAAUGAGACGAAUGCAGAACCAACUAGAUGUACACCCAACAAUGUGGAUGAACCUUAAAACAGUGCUGCCUGAAGAAGGCAAGAAACAGAAUGAAAUCUGCAGCACAUCAUUCAUAUAAACUAAAAAUACAUGCACAGAGAAAGGCCACUUUUUUUUUUUUGGAGACAAAGUUUCGCUCUUGUCACUCAGGCUGGAGUGCAAUGGCACGAUCUCGGCUCACUGCAACGUCCACCUCUAGGGUUCAAGCGACUGUCCUGCCUCAGCUUCUAGAGUAGCUGGGAUUAUAGGAGCCCACCACCAUGGCCGGCUAAUUUUUGUCUUUUUAGUAGAGACGGGGUUUCACCAUGUUGCCCAGGCUGGUCUCAAACUCCUGACCUCAGGUGAUCCACGUGCCUCGGCCUCCGAAAGUGCUGGGAUUACAGGCGUGAGCCACCGCACCCAGUCAGCAACGUAUGUUUUGUAGAGACACAGACAAAGAUGUGAUGUCAAACACACUAAUGUGGUUGCCUCAUUUAUGGAUGGGGGACUGGGCUGGUGAAUGAGGAUUAAAGGAAUAAAUAAAUAAAACAAGAGAGGGCCUCUGUACAGAACGGUGAUGACAGCGUGCCGUCGAGGAGAAUGAUGAACUCAAACUUUUGCACCUGAGAGCCAAACAAAAGCUCAAAACCAAAAUCUCUCUUAGAAAUGAUGCCACUGACUUUAGGAUGGCACUCAUAUCUGUGUGAGUGGGAGAGAGAAGGGUUUGGGGCAGGGAUUUGACUGUAGCUGUAAUGUUUUAUUCCUUUAAAAAAGAUAAGAUAAUCUGAAACAAAAUGUUAAUAUCUGUUGAAUCUGGGGAGAGGCUAUGAGGGUUUCUGUUAAACCAUUUUGUGUACAUUUUAAAUACAGUCAUGCAUGAGUUAAUGAUGGGGAAUAAGUUCUUAGAGAUACGUUGUUAAGCAGUUUUGUUAUUGUGUGAACAUUAUCGAGUGUACUUACACAAACUUAGGAUGGAAUAGCUGACUAUAUAACUUAGACUAUAUGGUCUAGCCUAUUGCUUGAAGGCUGCAAACCCAUACUCCAUGUUACUGUACUGAAUAAUGAAGACAAGUGUAAUACGAUGGCAAGUAUUUGUGUAUCUAAACAUAGAAAAGGUACAGUAGAAAUGUGGUAUCGUAGUCUUAUGAGAGUACUGUUGUAUAUGCAAUGCUUUGUUGACUGAAACAUCAUUAUGUGGUUCAUGACUGUAUAUCAUAAUUUUAAAAAAUAUUUUAAGAGGUUGCCAAUCAAGACACUACAAACUAAUUUUGUGGCUUUUGUCAAAAUUCAUUUCUUUCUUUCUUUUUUUUUUUUUUGUUUUGAGACAGGGAUCACUCAAGCAAUCCUUCUGCCUUA
RNAcentral lists this long non-coding RNA (3891 nucleotides) under Homo sapiens (human). Its description in RNAcentral is "HSALNT0302085". Lineage: Eukaryota; Metazoa; Chordata; Mammalia; Primates; Hominidae. The record is from RNAcentral.